CCCGGGCUGGUCCGCGGGCAGCCGAAGGGCCAGGCUGCGGAGGCAACUUUUGAAUGGCUGAAAGUUGAGCGCAACCCGCCCCGCAAGAACAGCGAUGUUGGCUUUGGGAAGGAAGUUAGACCAACGUUUCCCUACUCUCCCCCCACCCCACCCCGACCCGGCCGGCAGAGACAGAGACACAGAGAGAGAGAGAGAUCGGAAAGAAAGAAGUUGUUACAGACUUACUCGAAACUGGCUGCUUUAAGGGGCCUCUUUAAGAAAAAAAAAAUCUUCCCGUCGAAAACAACCAUCGUGGGCCACUCGAACUGAAACGAUUGCAAGGAUAAAGAUUCGUUCACCCAGCACUGGAUAAGGAAGAGCGAAGUCCCGCGAAAGUCCGAGAGCCGCCGGUUUCGGCUUUUUAAAAGCGCAAAAACGAAAGCUUCAGAUCGGAGAGCGUCGGUUGAUCUUUUGACAAAUUGACUUUUCUCUGCUUCGCUCCUCUCCGGAUCCCUGUCGCUGUAUAUACAGGGGGUGAAAGCUCACGAUAGAGACCCUUGGGAACUGCGGAGCGGGGCUUUUCCAUGUUACGGCCCUCCCAAAGACCCGAAAACAUUUUUAUUUUUUGGGUGUGCGAUUUUCAAACGAGAUUCAUUAUCUGGGGGCACACUCGACGCAUAUCAAAUAUCGAAAGCCUCCCCCACUCCCGGUCUCCAAAGCUGUAUUUUCUUCCACUUCUGCAUUUAUUUUUGCUGAUUAAAAAAAUAAAUAAACGAAUCUAAAUGAA
Long non-coding RNA from Pantherophis guttatus, 766 nucleotides. RefSeq lists it as uncharacterized. NCBI's taxonomy places the organism in Eukaryota, Metazoa, Chordata, Lepidosauria, Squamata, Colubridae. The record is from RefSeq and is a predicted model, not a curated record.